AGUAUCGCGUAGGGAUUUGUCGUUGGGUGGGGGAUAACCGCGGGGAAACUGCGGCUAAUACCGCAUGACGCCUGUGGGCCAAAGGUGUGCAAGCACUGCCUGACGAGGAGCCUGCGUCCGAUUAGCUAGUUGGUUGGGUAAUGGCUGACCAAGGCUGUGAUCGGUAGCUGGUCUGAGAGGGUGAUCAGCCACACUGGGACUGAGACACGGCCCAG
RNAcentral lists this ribosomal RNA (215 nucleotides) under uncultured bacterium. Its description in RNAcentral is "partial 16S ribosomal RNA". It matches the Rfam family "Bacterial small subunit ribosomal RNA", at positions 109 to 334 of the family's 1533-position model. The record is from RNAcentral.